GGAUGUGAGGGUGAUCUGGCUACAGCAUCUGUUACCCCACUGAUUGUCAGGGUUGAUCCGGCUGAUCUGGCUGGCUAGGUGGGUGUCUCCUUCUUCCCUCAGCUCUCCAUGUACAUCCCUCCUGAAGCUGUGAGCUUAGUCAAAGAGGACAACCUUCUCCAAUAGAGGACCAUUCUUCAGUCAAGGAUAUACGAGUAGCUGUGCUCCCCUGCUAGAACCUCCAAACAAGCUCUCAAAAUGACCUUUACACUUAAUCAAGAGUUCCUGUGCCUGUCAUCUCCAUACUUGGAAUCUUAAUAACCUAUAUAGCACUUAGAAGCCACUCUGGGCUGAGCAUAGUGGCUCACGCCUGUAAU
This 356-nucleotide small nuclear RNA is filed under the name Microcebus murinus (gray mouse lemur). Its description in RNAcentral is "7SK RNA (ENSMICG00000022915.3)". The stretch from base 1 to 305 matches the Rfam family "7SK RNA". From Rfam's summary of the family: 7SK was discovered as an abundant small nuclear RNA in the mid-70s but a possible function has only recently been suggested. Two independent studies have found that 7SK RNA binds the CDK9/cyclin T complex (known as elongation factor P-TEFb). Lineage: Eukaryota; Metazoa; Chordata; Mammalia; Primates; Cheirogaleidae. The record is from RNAcentral.